Molecule: long non-coding RNA, 4179 nt
Organism: Chenopodium quinoa (quinoa)
Lineage: Eukaryota; Viridiplantae; Streptophyta; Magnoliopsida; Caryophyllales; Amaranthaceae
Exons: 4
Source: RefSeq, a predicted model, not a curated record
AGGAUGUCUUCUACACUUACUAAAAUAACACUCGUACUUCAUUAGUAUUGUUACAGUAUCAAUUAAAUCAUUUUUUUAGAUGGUAAGGAGAAGACGUUCUAAGUUCAAACGGAUCGAAGCUUUUCACAAAUCAACUCCGUUGUUCCAUUUAGCGGACAAUUAAAGUUCUUGGGGAGCGGGGGUUAAGGUAAGAAAGCUCCACCCCCAAGUUACCCAUGGUGGGAUGAUCCCAAAAUCUUUCCAAUUAGACCAAAUACUAUUUCAUACUAUUAUCCCGUAUUUACUUUACCAAUUAAAUCGAAUUAAUCUAUAAGGAGGAUUUUCUCAAAAAAAAAAAAAAAAGAAAAGAAAAACUAUAAGGAGGAUUUUUUUAAUGAUUAUUUUCCUUACUAAAAAAAAAAAACGGAUUAAUUUUUUCAUCAAUUACAUAUAAAAAAUUACGAGUAAAAUCUUUCAAAAAAAAAAUAAAAAAAUUACGAGUAAAAGUAUUAAAAAUCAGUACUUUAUACUUUAUAGCUUCAAGACUUCAAGAACUACAGUCAUGGCUGCCACAAUCGCUAUCAAUGGUAAUUAGAUCACCUCCAACUAAUUAUUUGCACAUUUUAAGUGUUGAGAUUACGUCGAAGCUGUAUUAGAGGGUAUUGGUUACAAAGUGAUUAUUUUGAGAGGUGGCAGAAUUAGCUUACAGACAAAAUGGUGGAGCUGGUAGUGGAGAAGCACACCCAAUAUAUCAUAUCUGUUGAGAAGGUAAGUUAUUUCUGGUUCCUUUCAAUGUUUGAUUUUUUUAUAAUCUUCCUCUAUGCUUUGAUUCAAAAUGCCAUGGGGUCCAUGAUUAAUUUUUGGAGGCAAGUUUAUUGGUUACUUGUAUCCUUAGAAGAAGGAUGCAUUGGAAUCCGUGGCCACAGAGCAUCUUAGGAUAAAUGGUGCUUACUGGGGACUGACAACACUGGAUCUUUUGGGAAAGCUUCAAGUCACGGACCAAGAUGAAGUUAUUCCAUGGGUUAUGCAGUGUCAACAUGAAUCUGGUUUGUAGAACUUCUUCCUGUUUAAUGGUAAUAAUGCUAAGUCAAACUUUCCAAUUCAUCAAGUUUCUUCCUUUAUUUAUUUUUUGGCUCCUACGAGUAUUUUUAAGUAGGUUUUGGUGGACAUGCUUCAAUGAAUCUGCUUACUUUAAACUAGUAUGAAAAUUAGACUGCGGAAUUACAUGUCUCUUUUUUGGUCCUUCUAGAAGAAUUAAGGACUCAUACAUCUUGAACUUUUCAGGUGAGGCAGGACUGCAAGAUCCGCACUCACUGCUGUUGUUGUUGAGCUAAUAUAAAAAUUCUAGAUAGAUUGUUUGUUCAAAGUUUGCCUCUUUGUGGCUUAAUUUUGAAUGAUGAUUAUGAUACUUGGAUGGUUAAGAUUAGACUCAAAGCAGACAUCAUUCUUAUGGAUCCAAUGUUUUUCCAGUCCUUUCAAAAUUCAAGUAAUAUAGUAGUCCUUGCUAUCUGGUUUAAGAUUAUCAUGCUCUCCACCUCAACCCCCCUCCCUCUUCUCAAACCUUGGUGCGUGGAGGGAAUAUCCUCCCCACCACCCCCACCCCAAGCUAUAUAUAGUAGUUUGCAGUUCUUAAUAUAUUUGUUUGUCCAAUUAAAUGAUGUAACAUGUCAUGCUCACCAUGACUAAAAUUUGCAGGUGGAUUUGGUGGUAAGUGACAAAUUAUAUUGUGGGACUGCAGAAUGAAGAUGGAUCUUUUUCAGGAGACAUGUGGGAACAAGUUGAUACUAGGUUUUCAUAUAUUGCAGUCUGUUGUCUGUCAUUGCUACGUCAAUUGGACAAAAUUGAUGUGGAAAAUGCUGUGAAUCACAUAGUAAGAUGCAAAAACCCUAGAUGGGGGAUUUGGAUGUACUCCUGGUGGGGAAUCGCAUGCAGGACAAAGUAUGUUGGUGCAUUUUGCUACUCUUUAAAAAUAAAUUGAUAGGUGAUAUUGCAAUCUUGAACCUUGAUGUUGCUUAUAUAGAUUAAAUUGUUCUUCCAUCGUUAAUCCUGUCUACGGUCCAUGCCUUUAACUAUUCUCAUCCCUAUUAGCAAUAGCUUUAUCCUGCCUUUUAUCUCUUUAAUUCACCUCCAUCUACUGCUCUCAUGAAUCGAUCAGAGUAAAGGAGCACCAUUUUAAGAGACCGUAUGUUCCAAUUAUGGUAUUUUAAUACUUGCCAAUUUGUGGCCAAGGGCAGUAGUUAAUGCUCCUUACAUUUUCAGAAAAAGCACUUUCCUUUGUACCGAAAAAGAUAAAGAAUUGUAUGUGGGCUUUUUGAGAAUAAUCCCUUCAAUAGUUUGACUUAGUAGUGCUGUAGGGGUAAGGUUGAAAUGGUGCAUACAUAUGGACUUUCCAAACCCUGCCUUAGAGGGAUAACUGGGAUUACUACUGAGUUGUUGAAUGAUUAAUAACACUGCUAUCUGGUUUUGUAUAUUCCUUAAUAUGAAUGAGCCAAGGAUUAUUUCACUUUAAGUAGGUUGCAGUUAGGAUUGUAUAUUUUUUUCACAAAACAGUCUUAUGACUUAUACCUCAAUCUAAGGGAAGCUAUGGCGUUUUAGGACUCUUGGGGUUACAAAAUUUCAGAAACCUGCUCAUCAAACUUUGGAGGGAGGUCGAAAGCAGACAGUUUAGGGGUUUUUAUGUUAUAGUUUUCUAUAUGCAUUGUAUAAAAAUAGAUCUGAGGAAGACAUGGUAUAAUAUCAAAGGUGGGUGAAAACAUGGUCUUUUUUUCUUAGGUUAAGUUUCAUCAUGCGAUUGAUGUUGACCUUUGUUUUAGGUUAGUUUCAUCAUUCGAUCGUUAAGUUUCAUCAUGGUGUGCUAUGCUUCUUUUUGUGCUAGCCAUGCUGUGUCUUGGGUCGGUUCGGCCCAGUGCCAUCUUUAAACUAGAAGUACUUCGUAAUACAAUUGAGGUUGGGCCUCGCAUAACAUUUGUAAGGUUGUAAGAAUGCAACAAAAUCGGCCCAGGCAAGUAAAGUCGGAAUUACUUGCCCAAGUAUCUUUAUGAAGAUUUUUUUUUUUUUUUUUUUUGGAUAGUUAUGAAGAAUUAAUUUCAUCAAUAGUCUCUGGAAAAACAAAAAUUAUGAAGCAACAGAAAACUUGAAGCAGUUCAAAGUAGCAGAAAAGAGCUGAAGAAUUUGGAGAGAGAAGAAAAUGGCGUGUUUAAUUGCAGUUAAUUUCUCUCCUUUUCCAAUCGUCUCUUAUUAUUUCAGGGUAAUACUCUCUUUUUUAUAUUUGUGCUUUUUAUUAAAUUUUUAUUUGAGCUAAUGUUAUCUUACAUUUCACAAGUUUUUUUUUUGAAGAAUCUGAAGGCUAAUUGCUAUAUUUUGUAACUUACCUGUAUAAUGUUAUUCAUUAAAAUGUCCCAAUUUCUCAUUUUAUUCAAAGUGUAAGGCACAUUAUUACAUUAAAUUUUGUUAUUGUUAGAUUGUUUCAAACCCUUUUUAAUAGGAGACUGUAAAUUUUGGGUCAUUAUUUGAUAUAGUUAUAAGUAGGUAUGUGACUCUUGAGAAAUUAUACAUCACACUGUUUUAGGAAUGGUGACAAGUUUUAUAGGACACAUCAAAAUAGGUAUGUACCUAUCUUAUUAACUCGGAGGGAGUAUGAAAUUGUUGAAAUCAAGUAAAUAUUUAGAUGAAACUCAGCUUUGCGGGUUGAAAUUAAUUCAAUUAUAAUUGUUGAUAUCAAGAAAUCAAUUAUAAUUGUUGUUAAUUGCAAGAGGUCAAUUGUAGUUGUAGAACUUAGGUAUGAGGUUGGGGUGCAAAUUGUGCAGCUAUUUUCAUUUUACUAUCAGGUGUCCAAGUGAAUACGGAGUAGUUGACAUUAUGUAUUUUCGAGGGUUGGGCAGUAUGGGACCUUCGAGUUGGAAUGAAGAGUUCGAGUGAGUAAGAUUGGAUUUAGUCUUUUGGAGGUUUUUUUGGAUGCAGCUUAGAGUAAUAUCUCAUUUCAUUUUCCUAAUCAGCUUUGUUCAUUAGUCCUUUUCUACUUGGUAUCUGCUUGAAAUACACAUAUCUCAAUACUUUUGUUAAUUAGAUUCAUUCGCUACCUUGUAUCUGAAUGCAAUAUAUAAUGCCACAUUUUCAAUAUCUCUAGAGUUCCCUACUUCCCUGAGCUUCUUUUCAAUGUUCUGACAGGCCUAUAAAGGAGAGUUGUUUAGGGUAAAAAUU